GAUGAACGCUGGCGGCGUGCUUAACACAUGCAAGUCGAACGGAAAGGCCCAAGCUUGCUUGGGUGCUCGAGUGGCGAACGGGUGAGUAACACGUGGGUGAUCUGCCCUGCACUUUGGGAUAAGCCUGGGAAACUGGGUCUAAUACCGGAUAGGACCAUCGUUUAGUGUCGGUGGUGGAAAGUUUGUCGGUGUGGGAUGAGCUCGCGGCCUAUCAGCUUGUUGGUGGGGUAAUGGCCUACCAAGGCGUCGACGGGUAGCCGGCCUGAGAGGGUGUACGGCCACAUUGGGACUGAGAUACGGCCCAGACUCCUACGGGAGGCAGCAGUGGGGAAUAUUGCACAAUGGGCGCAAGCCUGAUGCAGCGACGCCGCGUGGGGGAUGACGGCCUUCGGGUUGUAAACUCCUUUCGCCAAGGACGAAGCGUUUUGUGACGGUACUUGGAGAAGAAGCACCGGCUAACUACGUG
RNAcentral lists this ribosomal RNA (466 nucleotides) under uncultured bacterium. RNAcentral's name for it is "partial 16S ribosomal RNA". It matches the Rfam family "Bacterial small subunit ribosomal RNA", at positions 28 to 507 of the family's 1533-position model. The record is from RNAcentral.